GACGAACGCUGGCGGCGUGCUUAACACAUGCAAGUCGAACGGAAAGGCCCUGCUUUUGUGGGGUGCUCGAGUGGCGAACGGGUGAGUAACACGUGAGUAACCUGCCCUUGACUUUGGGAUAACUUCAGGAAACUGGGGCUAAUACCGGAUAGGAGCUCCUGCUGCAUGGUGGGGGUUGGAAAGUUUCGGCGGUGGGGGAUGGACUCGCGGCUUAUCAGCUUGUUGGUGGGGUAGUGGCUUACCAAGGCUUUGACGGGUAGCCGGCCUGAGAGGGUGACCGGCGACAUUGGGACUGAGAUACGGCCCAGGCUCCUACGGGAGGCAGCAGUGGGGAAUAUUGCACAAUGGGCGGAAGCCGGAUGCAGCAACGCCGCGUGCGGGAUGACGGCCUUCGGGUUGUAAACCGCUUUCGCCUGUGACGAAGCGUGAGUGACGGUAAUGGGUAAAGAAGCACCGGCUAACUACGUG
This 468-nucleotide ribosomal RNA is filed under the name uncultured bacterium. RNAcentral describes it as "partial 16S ribosomal RNA". It matches the Rfam family "Bacterial small subunit ribosomal RNA", at positions 28 to 507 of the family's 1533-position model. The record is from RNAcentral.